GGGGAAACCCACCUACCAUAAGGUAGGUACCCCGCUAUAUUUUAUAGCGGGGGGCAAACCGGGAGAAGUGAAACAUCUCAGUAACCCGAGGAAAAGACAUCAAUAGAGAUUCCCCUAGUAGCGGCGAGCGAACGGGGAGCAGCCCUUAAGCUGUUUAGAAUUUAGUGGAAUCCUUUGGGAAGAGGAGCGAUACAAGGUGAUAGCCCUGUACACGACGGAUUCUUUACAGUGAAAUCGAGUAGGUCGGGACACGUGUUAUCUUGACUGAAUAUGGGGGGACCAUCCUCCAAGGCUA
This 295-nucleotide ribosomal RNA is filed under the name uncultured Pelagophyceae. RNAcentral describes it as "partial Bacterial large subunit ribosomal RNA". It matches the Rfam family "Bacterial large subunit ribosomal RNA", at positions 120 to 468 of the family's 2925-position model. The record is from RNAcentral. Lineage: Eukaryota; Pelagophyceae.